UACGUAGGUGGCGAGCGUUGUCCGGAUUUACUGGGCGUAAAGAGCUCGUAGGCGGUCUGUCGCGUCGGUCGUGAAAACUUGGGGCUUAACCCUGAGCUUGCGGUCGAUACGGGCAGGACUGGAGUUCGGCAGGGGAGACUGGAAUUCCUGGUGUAGCGGUGAAAUGCGCAGAUAUCAGGAGGAACACCGGUGGCGAAGGCGGGGCUCUGGGCCGAUACUGACGCUGAGGAGCGAAAGCGUGGGGAGCGAACAGG
RNAcentral lists this ribosomal RNA (254 nucleotides) under uncultured bacterium. RNAcentral describes it as "partial 16S ribosomal RNA". It matches the Rfam family "Bacterial small subunit ribosomal RNA", at positions 524 to 776 of the family's 1533-position model. The record is from RNAcentral.